This is a long non-coding RNA of Xenia sp. Carnegie-2017, 236 nucleotides long. RefSeq lists it as uncharacterized. The record is from RefSeq and is a predicted model, not a curated record. Lineage: Eukaryota; Metazoa; Cnidaria; Anthozoa; Malacalcyonacea; Xeniidae. The transcript has 2 exons.
CUAGUCAAGACACUUUUGAAGCUGAAAGUGCAACCUUUUUGGAAGACAGUGAUACUGAUGUUGAAUUUUUUGAUGUCUUGCAAGCUUAAACAAUUGCAGUACAAGCAGAAGUACAGAAUGGGUUUUGCCAAACUGAAGAAGACCAUUGCAGGCAAUGUGUUCAAUACAAAGAAAACAUGAGGCAAUUCAAGAGAAUGAUAGAAAGCAAGCAUGCUAUUAUCCAACAACUUACUGAA